CAAGCUUCUUCUUGCUUUUCAAAGCUUUGAUGGUGAAGCCAAAGUCCGUAUGAGUCUUUGGCUUUGUAUCUUCUAACAAGGAAACAAUAUUUAGGCUUUCAAGAUCCGGUUGCGGUUCUAGUUCUUAGA
RNAcentral lists this microRNA precursor (129 nucleotides) under Arabidopsis thaliana (thale cress). RNAcentral describes it as "ATSL089420". Lineage: Eukaryota; Viridiplantae; Streptophyta; Magnoliopsida; Brassicales; Brassicaceae. The record is from RNAcentral.